Molecule: ribosomal RNA, 500 nt
Filed under: uncultured bacterium
Lineage: Bacteria
Description: bacterial SSU rRNA
Rfam family: Bacterial small subunit ribosomal RNA
Source: RNAcentral
CUGGCGGCGUGCUUAACACAUGCAAGUCGAACGGGCUUAAAUAGCUUGCUAGAUAAGCCUAGUGGCAAACGGGUGAGUAACGCGUAGGCAACCUGCCCCUGGGACGGGGACAACAUUCCGAAAGGGAUGCUAAUACCGGAUGAAGCACGGACCUCGCAUGGGGGACGUGCUAAAGGUGGGUCAAACCACCGCCGAGGGAUGGGCCUGCGUCUGAUUAGCCAGUUGGUGAGGUAACGGCCCACCAAAGCGACGAUCAGUAGCCGGUCUGAGAGGAUGAACGGCCACAUUGGGACUGAGACACGGCCCAGACUCCUACGGGAGGCAGCAGUGGGGAAUCUUCCGCAAUGGGCGAAAGCCUGACGGAGCAACGCCGCGUGAGUUGAAGAAGGUCUUCGGAUCGUAAAGCUCUGUUGCCGGGGACGAGAGAUUAGGGGAGGCAAUGCCCCUGAGAGGACGGUACCCGGUGAGGAAGCCACGGCUAACUGCGUGCCAGCCGCCGC